This 433-nucleotide ribosomal RNA is filed under the name uncultured bacterium. RNAcentral describes it as "partial 16S ribosomal RNA". It matches the Rfam family "Bacterial small subunit ribosomal RNA", at positions 29 to 507 of the family's 1533-position model. The record is from RNAcentral.
AACGAACGCUGGCGGCAUGCCUAACACAUGCAAGUCGAACGAGAACGCCGGGUCUUGUGGCGCACGGGGGGGGCAGGCGGGGGAAGCUUCACGUAGGUACCGUAUACCUCUCCGAGGGGGAUGCUAAUACCGGAUAAUGUCUUCGGACAAAAGAUUUCUCGCCUUUGGAUGGGCCCGCGUUGGAUUAGCUAGUUGGUAGGGUAAAAGCCUACCAAGGCGACGUUGCAUAGCUGGUGGGAGAGGAUGCCCAGCCACACUGGGGGUGUGACCCGGCCCAGACUCCUACGGAAGGCAGCAGUGGGGAAUAUUGGACGAUGGGCGAAAGCCUGAUGCAGCCAUGCCGCGUGAGUGAUGAAGGCGUUAGGGUUGUAAAGCUCUUUUACACGGGAUGAUAAUGACGGUACCGGGAGAAUAAGCACCGGCUAACUACGUG